This 107-nucleotide non-coding RNA is filed under the name Candidatus Saccharimonadota. RNAcentral describes it as "Candidatus Saccharibacteria SAM-I sequence". It matches the Rfam family "SAM riboswitch aptamer (S box leader)". Rfam says of the family: The SAM riboswitch is found upstream of a number of genes which code for proteins involved in methionine or cysteine biosynthesis in Gram-positive bacteria. The SAM riboswitch acts at the level of transcription termination control. The record is from RNAcentral.
UAAGUAUCAAGAGAGCAGGGAGGGAACGAGCCCAAUGAUCUGCCGACAACCCCCGCGUGUGGCGGAAAGGUGUCAAGUCUCGUCCGUUUAGGCGGAGAAGAUAUUAA